AGCGAUGGAGAGCUUGCUUUCCAGAGCGAGUGGCGAACGGGUGAGUAACGCGUGAGGAACCUGCCUCAAAGAGGGGGACAACAGUUAGAAAUGACUGCUAAUACCGCAUAAGACCACAGCACCGCAUGGUGCAGGGGUAAAAACUCCGGUGGUAUGAGAUGGACCCGCGUCUGAUUAGGUAGUUGGUGGGGUAACGGCCUACCAAGCCGACGAUCAGUAGCCGACCUGAGAGGGUGACCGGCCACAUUGGGACUGAGACACGGCCCAAACUCC
RNAcentral lists this ribosomal RNA (273 nucleotides) under uncultured Lachnospiraceae bacterium. RNAcentral's name for it is "partial 16S ribosomal RNA". It matches the Rfam family "Bacterial small subunit ribosomal RNA", at positions 65 to 339 of the family's 1533-position model. The record is from RNAcentral. Lineage: Bacteria; Bacillati; Bacillota; Clostridia; Lachnospirales; Lachnospiraceae.